Bradyrhizobium sp. is the source of this 213-nucleotide non-coding RNA. Lineage: Bacteria; Pseudomonadati; Pseudomonadota; Alphaproteobacteria; Hyphomicrobiales; Nitrobacteraceae. The record is from Rfam.
UCGAUCCUACCCGACCGAUCCACAUCGGCCCCGAGUCAUGCGCAGUUGCCCGCGAGGGUUUCGGCGAAGCGUUGACAGGGGGGGGCGCAUAGGCCAGCCAUCGAGCCGCGAAAGAGUCCUAUUCCGGGUGCCGACGCCGUGCAAAUAGCGGAAGGCAGCACGUCCAGGCGCGUUAUCGCGAGCGCCAGGACGACCCGGCGUGGUCAGAGACUC